This 85-nucleotide transfer RNA is filed under the name Candidatus Kinetoplastidibacterium desouzai TCC079E. Its description in RNAcentral is "tRNA-Leu (CAA) (tRNA-Leu-CAA-1-1)". It matches the Rfam family "tRNA". Rfam says of the family: Transfer RNA (tRNA) molecules are approximately 80 nucleotides in length. Their secondary structure includes four short double-helical elements and three loops (D, anti-codon, and T loops). Lineage: Bacteria; Pseudomonadati; Pseudomonadota; Betaproteobacteria. The record is from RNAcentral.
GCCCAGGUGGUGAAAUUGGUAGACGCAGGGGACUCAAAAUCCCCCGCCGAAAGGCGUGCCGGUUCGAUUCCGGCCCCGGGCACCA